Lycium ferocissimum is the source of this 2968-nucleotide long non-coding RNA. RefSeq lists it as uncharacterized. NCBI's taxonomy places the organism in Eukaryota, Viridiplantae, Streptophyta, Magnoliopsida, Solanales, Solanaceae. The record is from RefSeq and is a predicted model, not a curated record. The transcript is spliced from 3 exons.
UUGUUAAGAAAAUAGAAGGGAAACUCCAAAAUUUGAGAAAAUAGAUAAAUCUGUUGCAUCUAAGGGCGGGAAGAAGUCAACAAGGGAGAGUGCUUUAUCAUGUGUGAGAAAGAUUGAAGCAGCCCUUAUAUUUGGUUACCCGGUUUUUAAGCGUCAUUCGUCGAAGCCGGAGCAACAAUCUACCGGGUCACGGAGAUUUUGGUGAAACUUUUUCCUCUUCUCCUUUUUCUCCCUUCCCAUUUUACUUUCACAUUGUUUCCUGAGAAUAGAAUUGAUGCUUAGAAAGAAAGUGUGAAAAGAAAACAGGAAUAGCAUUUGCAAUUCGUCUUUGCAGCAUUUACAUGUUACUAUAGCUAUUCUGAAGUACGCUUAGUAAUAUUCAAAAUGACAUAUUUUUCUAGUUUCCAUUGCAUUUACUUGCUCAAACUCUAUGUUGGAAUUUUAUUUAUAUGAUCGCUGCACAAAGGAACAAGCAAAGUAGUAUACUACCAGUCAUGAACUGUAAAUUCAAGAACUGUUAAUUAUUCUUGAAUUUGUUAACUUAAUCAGCUUUUUAUCUAACUUUUUAUGCAUUCAUAAUGACAUAAGAUAUUUGUUUAUCGUUUGUUCUAUCUGUUUGUGCAAUCAACUUCAUGAUUUCUCUUUAAUGUUCCAUUUUAAUUCUUUUUGGACACAUAAUAAGAUCCAGAUGUUGUCUUUGUCAGUUCAGAUUGAGAUAAACAAGACUUACAACAAAAGGAAAAAUCUUUCUCCCACUUACAAAGCAAAAUAUUUCUCUCUUUUCCCACAGUCGCUCAAGGUAAAUCUGCUCUUUCAUAUUUUUAGUUUUUGAAGUUCUUAUUCAUGUUUGAUUGGUGUUUCAUAUAUUUAUGUGUUCUACUAUUGUUCCGACCAAAUUUAAUAUUUCCGGCCUCAAUCUAAAGUGAGAACCAAAAUUUGUUGCUUGAUUUUAGUUAAUUGUACCAAACAAAUUUGCAUGUUUUGGUGAUUUUGUUGCCCGUUUGGUGAGAUUUAUUAAUCUUGAAUGUGAUCAGUAAAGAAAAAGGUUGAUGACUGCGGGCAAUGACCUUCAUGAAUUUUCGUUUGCCAGCAAAAGUCUUUGUAAGGAAUUAUCAGCGGCCACCUCAUUGAAUGCUUCGAGUGAAGGGACAUCCCAAAACAAAAACGUACUAAAGAAGACCUAAGAAAAGCUUAUUUCUUUCUCCAUGAUCAGGUCCGCUACAAGAUUCGGUUUCAUUUUCCCUCUGUUACUGAUCUUCUUACUUUUCCAUGAUUGGAUUAUGACGGAAAGUUUGAAAUUUUAUGUGUUAGAAGGUAAGAUUUGAGAUCAAUUGGUCGAUUUUCUAUUAAUUUAAUGUGAACAUUCUAUUUUCAUUCAGAUAUGGAAUUUUUAGUUUUUGUUCCAGAUCUUUUGAAGAUUUCCAAGUGAUGUUUUUCACUUGAGGUUUGAAAUUUUUUAUUCUGGGAUUUGGUGAAGAAAAUUAUCAUUUGGGUAGAAUUUUGUUGGGUUAAUUUUCUGGAAAAUGGUGAUCAAUUUGAUUCAAAUUCGAAGAAAAUUUUGCUUUGAUCCGAGAAAUCCUUGAGAAUAUCCUUACAUUGCUAUGGAUGCGGAGUUGUUAACUACUCAAUGACUAAUCACCCUCUAUGUUCACGUCCCUCCAAGUCUAAUCGUCCCUUCCAAGACAUUCCUUCUAACUUCUCUUUCUCCAAAGGUAGAAAGGAAAGGUCGUAAACUCUCUUUCGAGAGCCAUCCAUUCUCCAACUCUGAAAUUCAGUUGCACAGUAUCUUCUGUGUGGUAGGAUGUUUUAAGUUGUUGUGUCAUUUCUUGUAUUGAUGUUCCUGAUUUAGUUCGCAUUGUUUUCUUUAAAUCAAAGAUGGACCUACGUGGUAAGCUGCGGUUGAUAAGCUUUUUUAGUCUAACAAGUAUGCUCUAUCUGUUUGUUGCAAGACUAAUGCUACUGGAAUUCCGAGUUAUCUUCUACAAUCUUCCUCUGUUGUUACUCUAUCCUAUGUUGUUUAUAUACAGAGCAGUAAACUGAAUACUUGAUAAGCAUUUUGUAUGAAUUAUGUUACUUAUUGUCAUUUUGUUGUCAGUUCUGGUGGCAUUAUCUGCCAAGAAAAAUUAGGAAGUAGUUGUUGAGUGUUGCACUAUUUUGUGGAUAGUGUAACAAAAUACCCAUAAAUCAUAAGGACCACUGUAUCAUUUUCUUCUUUAGACUAUCAGUGUUUGAGUUAUUUGAGCAAUUUAUUGGUAUUAAUUAUUCAUAAGUCUCCAAAUUUAUUGGUUGAGGAUCUUAACAAGGGAAAAUUGGACUGCUGUUAUUACCUCAUUGCAGCACUAGAGAUUCUGAAUUUGGAAUAUUAUCUUGCAUGUAAGAAAGUAACAGUGAAGAGGAACUACAUCACAAUUGGUUCCCAACUUAAUCGUGGAAAAAAAAUACGAUAUGCUUAUUUUGACGCCUAUGAAAUGUUUGAAAAGAUGCCCUAGGUAGAUGAUGGUGGUUCUUUCAAUGUCAUACUAGCUAUUCGGACAUCCAUUUGUAGAUUAAAUUUUACAGGUAAGAUAUUGACAUGACAAAAUGCAUUUACUGUGGAUUCUGCCAAGAAGCCUGCCCUGUUGAUGCAAUUGUUGAAGGGCCAAACUUUGAAUUUGCAACCGAAACUCAUAAGGAACUUCUUUACGACAAGGAGAAGCUUCUUGAGAAUGGUGAUCGGUAUGGAACACUGAGAUUGCAGAGAAUUUGUGAUCUGAAAACCUCUACCCCUGUGUACUUUUGGUUAAUUUUGAGUAGAGAAUCUUGAGAUACAAUGAAACUUUCUAGCUUCAAUAGAAUACAGGGAUCUGUUGAAGGUUGUUCUCUUUUUGUUUCUUUCCGUUGCCUUUCUAUUAUUAAGAUUAAGAUGACUCUAUUUGAUAUAGUAACAGAUUGGUGAAAAACUGAAAAUAUGGAGCAGCAUCUUAUUAUA